Molecule: ribosomal RNA, 641 nt
Filed under: Cortinarius traganus
Lineage: Eukaryota; Fungi; Basidiomycota; Agaricomycetes; Agaricales; Cortinariaceae
Description: eukaryotic LSU rRNA
Rfam family: Eukaryotic large subunit ribosomal RNA
Source: RNAcentral
UGACCUCAAAUCAGGUAGGACUACCCGCUGAACUUAAGCAUAUCAAUAAGCGGAGGAAAAGAAACUAACAAGGAUUCCCCUAGUAACUGCGAGUGAAGCGGGAAAAGCUCAAAUUUAAAAUCUGGCAGUCUUUUGGCUGUCCGAGUUGUAAUCUAGAGAAGUGUUAUCCGCGCUGGACCAUGUACAAGUCUCCUGGAAUGGAGCAUCAUAGAGGGUGAGAAUCCCGUCUUUGACAUGGACUUCCAGGGCUUUGUGAUGCGCUCUCAAAGAGUCGAGUUGUUUGGGAAUGCAGCUCAAAAUGGGUGGUAAAUUCCAUCUAAAGCUAAAUAUUGGCGAGAGACCGAUAGCGAACAAGUACCGUGAGGGAAAGAUGAAAAGAACUUUGGAAAGAGAGUUAAACAGUACGUGAAAUUGCUGAAAGGGAAACGCUUGAAGUCAGUCGCGUCGUCCAGGGAUCAACCUUGCUUUUGCUUGGUGCACUUCCUGGUUUGAUGGGUCAGCAUCAAUUUUGACUAUUGGAAAAAGGUUAAGGGAAUGUGGCAUCUUUGGAUGUGUUUAUAGCCCUUGGUCACAUACAAUGGUUGGGAUUGAGGAACUCAGCACGCCGCAAGGCCGGGUUUAAACCACGUACGUGCUUAGGA